This 472-nucleotide ribosomal RNA is filed under the name uncultured bacterium. RNAcentral's name for it is "bacterial SSU rRNA". It matches the Rfam family "Bacterial small subunit ribosomal RNA", at positions 8 to 525 of the family's 1533-position model. The record is from RNAcentral.
AGGGUUUGAUUAUGGCUCAGAACGUACGCUGGCGGCACGCCUAACACAUGCAAGUCGAGCGAAGUAGCAAUACUUAGUGGCAGACGGGUGAGUAACAUGUAGGUAUCUGCCCUUUGGCCUGGAAUAACACGAGGAAACUUGUGCUAAUACCGGAUAAGUCUUUACGGAGAAAGCUUUAUGCACCAUUGGAUGAGCCUGCACUUGAUUAGUUUGUUGGUGGGGUAAUGGCCUACCAAGACUGUGAUCAAUAGCUGAUUUGAGAGGAUGAUCAGCCACAUUGGGACUGAGACACGGCCCAAACUCCUACGGGAGGCAGCAGUGGGGAAUCUUGCACAAUGGAGGAAACUCUGAUGCAGCGAUGCCGCGUGAGUGAAGAAGGCCUUUGGGUUGUAAAGCUCUUCCGUCGGGGAAGAAAAUGACUGUACCCGAAUAAGAAGGUCCGGCUAACUUCGUGCCAGCCGCCGCGGUAAUU